ACGAGAGGUAGGGAGGGACGGUGAGGGGAGGAGGAGGAAAGGGGGAGGAACCACUACUUUAACUUGGGUGCUACGCUCGCUCGGGGUCGGCCCUGAAAAAUGCUAAUGGACCAAUUACAGCAAUUAAACGAUCAGUGACUCGUUGUGCGGUAGUUAAGCUGAAGUUGGGCGGACAGGGGAGGGCAAGAGGCUGGUGGGUCAGUGUUGUGCUUGCUGGCAGGGAUGGUGCUGGCGGCUUCUGCAUCAACCCAACAGUUUGUGAACACGAAAACAAACAAGUUUCAGCACAGACUAAACCGUGCAGAACUUCAGCCACACCUCCUAGGGAUACCUUCUCGCCUCCAAGAAUAGGGCUUGAAAGUUCACGCCGCCAAGUGCACCCACUUUGUGAACGAAGCGUCUGUCUUCAGGACGGUCUCCGUGACAGGAUGAAAACUCCGUCCUCUCAUCGACAACAUGCAGUACACGAGGCCUCAUUGACAACUGGCUGGUAUCUGCGGCCGUUCCUGUGGAAUGGGAGGUGAGGAAAGCAACGCUAAGAUGUAAACAUUGUUCUAUGUUAUUACCAUUAAAAAACAACCUGGGUUUAAAACAGCCACUUGAAUAUGUUUACCUAUCAGCUUCAUGACAUGUAGCGGGUCCUGCGUACGAGUUUGUGGUUUCCGGGAUCACGGCGAGCACUGGUUUGGCAGCGAGGUGGUGGUGGGCGAGGCGGUGGUCGGGGACGUUAGGGACGAAAGACACCGUAUGAUGGU
Long non-coding RNA from Scylla paramamosain (green mud crab), 755 nucleotides. RefSeq lists it as uncharacterized. Lineage: Eukaryota; Metazoa; Arthropoda; Malacostraca; Decapoda; Portunidae. The record is from RefSeq and is a predicted model, not a curated record. The transcript is spliced from 3 exons.